GAGGGUAUAGCUCAGUGGUAGAGUGAGUGCUUAGCAUGCAUGAGGUCUUGGGUUCAAUCCCUAGUGCCUCCA
This 72-nucleotide transfer RNA is filed under the name Camelus bactrianus (Bactrian camel). It matches the Rfam family "tRNA". From Rfam's summary of the family: Transfer RNA (tRNA) molecules are approximately 80 nucleotides in length. The record is from Rfam by way of RNAcentral. Lineage: Eukaryota; Metazoa; Chordata; Mammalia; Artiodactyla; Camelidae. RNAcentral also lists the same sequence under 1 other name.